Molecule: ribosomal RNA, 457 nt
Filed under: Metschnikowia pulcherrima
Lineage: Eukaryota; Fungi; Ascomycota; Pichiomycetes; Serinales; Metschnikowiaceae
Description: eukaryotic LSU rRNA
Rfam family: Eukaryotic large subunit ribosomal RNA
Source: RNAcentral
AGCGGAGGAAAGGAAACCAACAGGGAUUGCCUCAGUAACGGCGAGUGAAGCGGCAAAAGCUCAAAUUUGAAAUCCCCCGGGAAUUGUAAUUUGAAGAGAUUUGGGUCCGGCCGGCGGGGGUUAAGUCCACUGGAAAGUGGCGCCACAGAGGGUGACAGCCCCGUGAACCCCUUCAAAGCCCUCAUCCCAGAUCUCCAAGAGUCGAGUUGUUUGGGAAUGCAGCUCUAAGUGGGUGGUAAAUUCCAUCUAAAGCUAAAUACCGGCGAGAGACCGAUAGCGAACAAGUACAGUGAUGGAAAGAUGAAAAGCACUUUGAAAAGAGAGUGAAAAAGUACGUGAAAUUGUUGAAAGGGAAGGGCUUGCAAGCAGACACUUAACUGGGCCAGCAUCGGGGCGGCGGGAAACAAAACCACCGGGGAAUGUACCUUUCGAGGAUUAUAACCCCGGGUCCUCUACU